RNAcentral lists this ribosomal RNA (322 nucleotides) under Sandonidae sp. RNAcentral's name for it is "SSU rRNA". It matches the Rfam family "Eukaryotic small subunit ribosomal RNA", at positions 634 to 955 of the family's 1831-position model. Lineage: Eukaryota; Cercozoa; Glissomonadida; Sandonidae. The record is from RNAcentral.
GAUUUCUGGCUUGAAACAAUCAACCGGCCACGGUUUCGUGUGUUAGUGCUUGAUGUUCUGGCCAUCCUUUCAAUCGCUAUGCACCUUUCUUCAUUGAUUGGUGUGUGGUAUUGGAUCUUUUACUUUGAAAAAAUUAGAGUGUUUCAAGCAGGCUUUAUGCUAUGAAUACAUUAGCAUGGAAUAAUAAUUUAGGACUUCGGUUCUAUUUUGUUGGUUUCUAGGACUGAAGUAAUGAUUGAUAGGGAUAGUUGGGGGUGCUAGUAUUCAGCGGCCAGAGGUGAAAUUCUCGGAUUCGCUGAAGACUAACUUAUGCGAAAGCAUU